CAGUAGCCGCGGGAAUACAGAGGUCUCAAGCGUUGUUCGGAAUCACUGGGCGUAAAGGGUGCGUAGGUGGCGUGGUAAGUCAGAUGUGAAAGCCCGGGGCUCAACCUCGGAAUUGCAUCCGAUACUACCAUGCUAGAGUACUGAAGAGGUGACUAGAAUUCUCGGUGUAGCAGUGAAAUGCGUAGAUAUCGAGAGGAAUACCAAAGGCGAAGGCAGGUCACUGGGCAGUUACUGACACUGAGGCACGAAGGCUAGGGGAGCAAACGGGAUUAGAUACCCCAGUAGUCCCUGUCUCUUAUAA
This 301-nucleotide ribosomal RNA is filed under the name uncultured bacterium. RNAcentral's name for it is "partial 16S ribosomal RNA". It matches the Rfam family "Bacterial small subunit ribosomal RNA", at positions 509 to 809 of the family's 1533-position model. The record is from RNAcentral.